UCACUUCAGUAGCACAUAUACUUAAAUUGGAAUGGUACAGUGAAGAUUAGCAUGUCCCCUAUACAAGGAUAACACUGUUUUAUAUAUUUUUUAAAAAGUUUU
Molecule: small nuclear RNA, 102 nt
Filed under: Aotus nancymaae (Ma's night monkey)
Lineage: Eukaryota; Metazoa; Chordata; Mammalia; Primates; Aotidae
Source: RNAcentral